RNAcentral lists this ribosomal RNA (265 nucleotides) under uncultured bacterium. Its description in RNAcentral is "partial 16S ribosomal RNA". It matches the Rfam family "Bacterial small subunit ribosomal RNA", at positions 793 to 1055 of the family's 1533-position model. The record is from RNAcentral.
GUCCACGCCGUAAACGAUGUCAACUAGCUGUUUGGUAUAUGAAUAUAUUGAGUGGCGCAGCUAACGCGAUAAGUUGACCGCCUGGGGAGUACGGUCGCAAGAUUAAAACUCAAAGGAAUUGACGGGGGCCCCGCACAAGCUGUGGAGCAUGUGGUUUAAUUCUAUGCAACGCGAAGAACCUUACCUACCCUUGACAUACAGUAAAUUUUGCAGAGAUGCGAAAGUGCCUUCGGGAAUACUGAUACAGGUGCUGCAUGGCUGUCGU